Molecule: long non-coding RNA, 266 nt
Filed under: Homo sapiens (human)
Lineage: Eukaryota; Metazoa; Chordata; Mammalia; Primates; Hominidae
Description: HSALNT0136098
Source: RNAcentral
UUUGAAAUGGAGUUUCGCUCUUGUUGCCCAGGCUGGAGUGCAAUGGCACAUUCUCGGCUCACUGCAACCUCUGCCUCCCAGGUUCAAGCGAUUCUCCUGCCUCAACCUCCCGAGUAGCUGGGAUUACAGGCAUGAGCUACCACGCCUGGCUAAUUUUGUAUUUUUAGUAGAGAUGGGGUUUCUCCAUGUUGGUCAGGCUGGUCUCAAACUCCUGACCUCAGGUGAUCUACCUGCCUCGGCCUCCCAAAUUGCUGGGAUUACAGGCG